RNAcentral lists this ribosomal RNA (431 nucleotides) under uncultured bacterium. RNAcentral's name for it is "bacterial SSU rRNA". It matches the Rfam family "Bacterial small subunit ribosomal RNA", at positions 29 to 506 of the family's 1533-position model. The record is from RNAcentral.
ACGAACGCUGGCGGCAUGCCUAACACAUGCAAGUCGAACGAGAUCUUCGGAUCUAGUGGCGCACGGGUGCGUAACGCGUGGGAAUCUACCCUUGGGUUCGGAAUAACAGUUGGAAACGACUGCUAAUACCGGAUGAUGACGUAAGUCCAAAGAUUUAUCGCCCAAGGAUGAGCCCGCGUAGGAUUAGCUAGUUGGUGAGGUAAAGGCUCACCAAGGCGACGAUCCUUAGCUGGUCUGAGAGGAUGAUCAGCCACACUGGGACUGAGACACGGCCCAGACUCCUACGGGAGGCAGCAGUGGGGAAUAUUGGACAAUGGGCGAAAGCCUGAUCCAGCAAUGCCGCGUGAGUGAUGAAGGCCUUAGGGUUGUAAAGCUCUUUUACCCGAGAUGAUAAUGACAGUAGCGGGAGAAUAAGCUCCGGCUAACUCCGU